Molecule: ribosomal RNA, 517 nt
Filed under: uncultured bacterium
Lineage: Bacteria
Description: partial 16S ribosomal RNA
Rfam family: Bacterial small subunit ribosomal RNA
Source: RNAcentral
UGGGGAAUCUUGCGCAAUGGGCGAAAGCCUGACGCAGCCAUGCCGCGUGAGUGAUGAAGGCCUUAGGGUUGUAAAACUCUUUCACCGGGGACGAUAAUGACGGUACCCGGAGAAGAAGCCCCGGCUAACUUCGUGCCAGCAGCCGCGGUAAUACGAAGGGGGCUAGCGUUGCUCGGAAUUACUGGGCGUAAAGGGCGCGUAGGCGGAUCAGCAAGUUGGGGGUGAAAGCCCGGGGCUCAACCUCGGAAUUGCCUUCAAAACUGCUGAUCUAGAGUACGGGAGAGGUGUGUGGAACUCCGAGUGUAGAGGUGAAAUUCGUAGAUAUUCGGAAGAACACCAGUGGCGAAGGCGACACACUGGCCCGUUACUGACGCUGAGGCGCGAAAGCGUGGGGAGCAAAACAGGAUUAGAUACCCUGGUAGUCCACGCUGUAAAACGAUGAUUGCUAGUUGUCGGCAGGCAUGCCUGUCGGUGACGCAGCUAACGCAUUAAGCAAUCCGCCUGGGGGAGUACGGUC